CGGUUGAUCCUGCCAGUAGUCAUAUGCUUGUCUCAAAGAUUAAGCCAUGCAUGUCUAAGUAUAAGCAACUUGUACUGUGAAACUGCGAAUGGCUCAUUAAAUCAGUUAUCGUUUAUUUGAUAGUACCUUACUACAUGGAUACCUGUGGUAAUUCUAGAGCUAAUACAUGCUAAAAACCCCGACUCACGAAGGGGUGUAUUUAUUAGAUAAAAAACCAACGCCCUUCGGGGCUCCUUGGUGAAUCAUAAUAACUUAACGAAUCGCAUGGCCUUGUGCCGGCGAUGGUUCAUUCAAAUUUCUGCCCUAUCAACUUUCGAUGGUAUGGUCUUGGCUUACCAUGGUUUCAACGGGUAACGGGGAAUUAGGGUUCUAUUCCGGAGAGGGAGCCUGAGAAACGGCUACCACAUCCAAGGAAGGCAGCAGGCGCGCAAAUUACCCAAUCCCGACACGGGGAGGUAGUGACAAUAAAUACUGAUACAGGGCUCUUUUGGGUCUUGUAAUUGGAAUGAGUACAAUUUAAAUCCCUUAACGAGGAACAAUUGGAGGGCAAGUCUGGU
This 557-nucleotide ribosomal RNA is filed under the name uncultured eukaryote. Its description in RNAcentral is "SSU rRNA". It matches the Rfam family "Eukaryotic small subunit ribosomal RNA", at positions 5 to 565 of the family's 1831-position model. The record is from RNAcentral.